CUCGCGUCCCGCUUGAAAAACAAGCAGCCACUGCCCACAGCCCACUACGGUGACAGGACUGACUCGAUUGUUCAACAUCAUAUCAGUCUGGCCAGACUCCUUCCACCGUACGGCGGCCCUCGUUCGGCAGCUUCAGCAAGCCAUGGCAUGCGCUCGUCUCCGCGUCCGGUCGUCGCCGCCGGCGGUGCUGCCCCUCCUCCUCCUGCUGCUGAUGCUGGCGCCGGCGUUUCUGCACGGUGCUGCCAGCGACGAGCCUCAGAUGGUGCCUGAGGUCGUCGUGAGGCUGGAGGUAGUAUCCUCCAGCCCGAAGGGGCGAGAAGGCCGUUCCUUACCUCCGGCGAAACUGGCGCGACCCCUUCGGAUUAUAGCAGCGUUUGACGGGAGCCAUGUGAUUCCUGUCUCCCCGGGAGUGGGACACCGCUAGGCACGGUGAUGCAAGUCGCGCAGGUUGGCAGGUCCAGCUGAUGAGAUCUAUGGAGUCUGCUGGUCUGGUAUAGCAAAAUGCAAAAGAAAAAAAAAGAGAAAAUGAGCUAUACAUCUACAGGACCUGACUAAUGCACAGCCGGCUAUAAAUUAAACUGGUUGACUGGUGGUUGUACGGAUCGGCAAACAGAUUUGCAGAUUUAUUAGCUAACUUCCACUCCUCUUGUGGAAAGUACUAGUUUAUUUUUUUUCAAAAGUAAAAGGUUGUUAUGGACAGUGCUCGGUGCCAAGCAGCUCCCGCCGUUUUACUGCCAGGAAAACAAGCAGUCCACAGGCUCUUUGCCGAGUGUGGCACUCGGCAUACCGCACGUUGGCGGAGCGGCCUCAACAGAGGCUAUGCCGAGUGCCGGACGGAAAGCACUCGGCAAACUUGGUGACUUUGCCGAGUGCCGGAUCUACAGCACUCGGCAAAGUUUCAAAGUUUCAAACUUUGUCGAGUGUUUGACUUGGCAUAGCUCCCGUCUUUGCUGAGUGUAUUUACCAUGACACUCGGCAAAUUUAAAGUAUUUAUUUUUGUUUU
Long non-coding RNA from Panicum virgatum (switchgrass), 1003 nucleotides. RefSeq lists it as uncharacterized. Lineage: Eukaryota; Viridiplantae; Streptophyta; Magnoliopsida; Poales; Poaceae. The record is from RefSeq and is a predicted model, not a curated record. The transcript has 2 exons.